Non-coding RNA from Theobroma cacao (cacao), 824 nucleotides. NCBI's taxonomy places the organism in Eukaryota, Viridiplantae, Streptophyta, Magnoliopsida, Malvales, Malvaceae. The record is from RefSeq and is a predicted model, not a curated record.
GAGCUAAUGAUGGAACAAGGCUUUCUUGUAACUUCGACUUCAAGCCAAGGAAACCUUCCUCUCCUUUUCCUUUUCUUAAAAAAUAUAUAAAUAAUAUUUUCCCUCUGACAAGAAGCUUUCAGUUGAUUUCAGUUUGUUGGUGGUAGCUCUAUAGGUCCUAUCCACUGAAAAUGGGUUCUCCCAAGGAACCUAAAACAAUGGGCUACUAUUCCUAAUCGGGUUAUACCCGAACCUUUUCAACCCAAUGGGUCCAUCUAUUCAAGAGUCGGGACCCUCCCCUUUCCCUCCCUUUCACUCUUCCUUCCCAUUUGUGUCUCAGAGCCACGAGCCUCAACUCUUCACUCGCGUGUUGUGGCAAUGAGUAAGCAAAUAUUAAGAAUCAGAAUGUGUAGUGGUAAUCAGGCUCAGGAUGACCUGUUGGGAAGCAAGACUUUGGACCAAAACUCUGAAGCCUUCACAAGGAGGAUAGUUGCUCUUCUAGUUGAGAUUGAAGAGUGCAUGCAUGAGCUGGAAGAAGCGCUUGCUGGCCUUGAAGAAGUUAUUGCACUAAUUAACAAGAUUAACUGUUUCUUUGGUGCAAUUCUGGUAGUUUUAUGUCUGUUUAAAUUGCUUAAAUCUGUGGAGUUACUCUGAGCAUACCCAACUAUAGGGUUUGUGGUCUGCUUAUGAAUGUCACCUAGUUUGUUCUUAUGUUUACAGGUAUAGCUUACUGACCAUUUGUGGUCUUCUUUUGCCUAUGUUUGUAAAUAUAGCUGACUGACCAUUUCUGGUUUUGUUUUACCUAUGAGGGUAUGAAUAAUGUAUAGUGUUUUUCUUUUUUUGCU